Molecule: long non-coding RNA, 431 nt
Organism: Planococcus citri (citrus mealybug)
Lineage: Eukaryota; Metazoa; Arthropoda; Insecta; Hemiptera; Pseudococcidae
Exons: 2
Source: RefSeq, a predicted model, not a curated record
AUACCUAGGUUACUACACAAAACAUAUAAUGUGACGACAUCAGCUAUACUGAAAAAUGUACAAACGAAAUAGUGAUUCAUUUUAACCCUCGAGCAACGUUUCAUCAUUGGUGGUAAGCUCAAUCAUGAAUUUUUCUAAGAUUUUUUUCAUGGUGACGUUCCUCGGAAUCUUAUCUAUUGCAUAUAAUAUGCCGAUCAGGCACAAUUUAUUUUGUAUUUUAUUCAAAAUUGAUUGUCCACCUCCUCCGAAUCCGUGUAUCAAUCCGGGAGGACCAAUUAUAAUAGACCCCGGCCCCAUACAGAUGGAAAGAAGCAAUCUUGUGGCUUGUCCGCUGGAAGAAUGACGAUUAUGUCUUAGCCAAUCAAUUCAUUGUAGCCUAACUUUUGUUUUUCUCUGCGACAACCUCAUUGAAAACUUUUCAAUCUUUUUCA